Asparagus officinalis (garden asparagus) is the source of this 1317-nucleotide RNA transcript. It is a transcript of the gene named bidirectional sugar transporter SWEET14-like, with no coding region annotated. The transcript is spliced from 6 exons. Lineage: Eukaryota; Viridiplantae; Streptophyta; Magnoliopsida; Asparagales; Asparagaceae. The record is from RefSeq and is a predicted model, not a curated record.
AGCUUUCCCCUUGGAUUUCCUCUCGCACGGUAUGACGUUAUUGUAAGGGGUUUUGAGCGAGAAGAUCUUGGAGCCAAACUUUUCCUUUAAAAUAAUUAAGAAAGAAUUAUUUAAAUAAAGAAAGGCCCAGAGUCUCUUUUUCUAGUAAGUUGACAAACUAAUCAUUAGCUUAGCUAUACUUUUCCUUACUAAUUAGGAUGACAUAAUCACUCUAGCUAGCUUCAUAAUUUGCACGUUGGCACAAACUAUAAACUCGCCAAUAACAUUCUAGAUUUUAUUUGAUAAUAUAAAUUUUGGGAUAUAUAAAUUACUAAAUGGCUUCAAUUUUUCUUAAUAUGCUUCGCAGGAAACUUGAUCUCAUUCGCGGUGUACCUUGCCCCGAUACCAACAUUUUAUCGAGUAUAUCGAAAGAAAUCAACUGAAGGGUUUCAAUCAGAACCCUACAUCAUGGCAUUAUUCAGCGCAAUGCUAUGGAUAUACUACGCGUUCAUCAAGACCGAUGAGUAUCUCCUCAUCACCAUCAACUCAUUCGGAUGUGUCGUUGAGACCAUAUACAUUGCCAUGUUCCUUGCUUAUGCCCCAAAAAAGAUCAAGAUUUAUGCGACGAAAGUGAUAUUGGUGUUGAAUGUGGGAGUGUUCUCGUUGAUUGUUCUAUCGACUCUUUUGCUUGCCAAGGGUCCUCACCGUGUGAAACUCCUUGGGUGGAUAUGUGUGGGUUUUGCCGUGAGCGUUUUUGCUGCCCCAUUGAGCAUAAUUAGGCAAGUCAUCAGGACAAAGAGCGUAGAAUUCAUGCCUUUCUCUCUAUCGUUCUUCCUCACAUUGAGCGCCGUAGUAUGGUUCUCCUAUGGCCUAUGCACAAAGGACAUUUAUAUUGCGAUACCAAACAUUCUGGGGUUCAGCUUUGGGCUUGUUCAAAUGGUUCUCUACAUAGUCUACAAGGAUGCAAAGGAGUUGAACAUGAAAGACGAUAAGCUGCCGGAGUUCAUAGUCUCAACCCCGAAGCACAGUGAGACCCAAAUCGCUCCUCAAACCGUUGAAGAGAUCGACGUUAGCGUCGCGGAGUCGAAGAUCGAGGAAGAAGAGAAAGGGGAAGACGACAAGAAGGAUACAGUGUAGAGAUGUUGAUGAGCAAUGCAUGCAAGUGUUUGGUUCGCUCCUUUGAGGAGAUGAUCGAUGGCAUUUGUGUGCAUAUCAACUUUGCAUGAGAGAGAGAGAGAGAGAGAGAGAGAGAGAGAGAGAGACUGACCAUUUCUAUUAUAUGCUAGUUUCUAUCGUGUACGUAGCUCUUCAUUUUAUGUUACUUAGUUGUAGUUGAUC